Molecule: unclassified non-coding RNA, 247 nt
Filed under: fungal sp.
Lineage: Eukaryota; Fungi
Description: partial internal transcribed spacer region
Rfam family: Eukaryotic small subunit ribosomal RNA (bases 1-46)
Source: RNAcentral
AAGUCGUAACAAGGUUUCCGUAGGUGAACCUGCGGAAGGAUCAUUAACAAAUCUGAACUGGUCUAGUGCAAGCAGUUUUCUGCUCGUACUAGAUCACAUUGACUCAGCUCGGCUUUACCUGCACCUGGCUUUUGGGGUGGGUGAGGGGUUAGUCGAGUGUUGAGACACAUUCACGCUUGUUGUGUUUGACUGAGUUUAUUAUGUGACAAAAUAAAGACAACUUUUAACAAUGGAUCUCUUGGCUCUU